Long non-coding RNA from Triticum aestivum (bread wheat), 570 nucleotides. RefSeq lists it as uncharacterized. The transcript is spliced from 3 exons. The record is from RefSeq and is a predicted model, not a curated record. Lineage: Eukaryota; Viridiplantae; Streptophyta; Magnoliopsida; Poales; Poaceae.
UUCUACGAGAUGCAAACAUGAUUGUGCUUGUCGCCCAGGACCAGGAUGUCGACGUAUGGUGUGCACCAGGAGGCGAACUCGUGCGGCUCAAGGACAGAUUGUUGUGAUGAUCUAUCUGGGUUGUCUAGAAAAAUCCCAAUUUUGAGUGAAGAGUGGAUCCUGUUUGCUGCAAUCUUCAAUACUAGUGUCGAUGUUGCCUAACCAUUGUUCGAGGCUGAAGAAGCAAAUAGAUGAUCUGGAUGAGAAGAUGGUGGUGACUGACUCUUCUCCCGAGUCUUUGGCGUCCAAGUAGAUCCAGGAUGGUGAGGACGGCGAAAAGAAAAGAUUUUUGCUGGAGAUGGUGCACCCACACCCAUCGGGCUAUUCUUCCGGAGGGCAAAGCGGGCAAGAAGAGGGGUCAAUGGAGCUUGGAGCUCUAUGGGAAGUCUGGUGGUUUUGCUUUAUAUUUUGAUUUUUACAUGUGAAUGGGACGUUGUUUGCCUCGUUUUGCCGGGUGCUCAUGUUGUAUCCAACAUAUGUCUUUUUGAAAAGCAAUGUCAUGCUUCUCUAUGGGAGACGAGAGGUGCAUUU